RNAcentral lists this ribosomal RNA (253 nucleotides) under uncultured bacterium. Its description in RNAcentral is "partial 16S ribosomal RNA". It matches the Rfam family "Bacterial small subunit ribosomal RNA", at positions 524 to 776 of the family's 1533-position model. The record is from RNAcentral.
UACGUAGGCAGCAAGCGUUGUUCGGAAUUACUGGGCGUAAAGAGUGUGUAGGCGGUUCUCUAAGUCUGGUGUGAAAUCUCCCGGCUCAACUGGGGGGGUGCGCCGGAAACUGGAGUGCUUGAGGGUGGGAGAGGUAAGCGGAAUUCCUGGUGUAGCGGUGAAAUGCGUAGAUAUGAGGAGGAACACCUGUGGUGUAGACAGCUUACUGGACCACUUCUGACGCUGAGACGCGAGAGCGUGGGUAGCAAACAGG